Molecule: non-coding RNA, 277 nt
Organism: Urocitellus parryii (Arctic ground squirrel)
Lineage: Eukaryota; Metazoa; Chordata; Mammalia; Rodentia; Sciuridae
Source: RefSeq, a predicted model, not a curated record
UUCCACGUGCGUCGAGUCACGACCCCCCCGCGGCCCAGUGGGGCGGGGACUGGGCUAGCGCAAGCGGUAGGCUCUGUCCGAAGAACCCUCCCACCCACUGAGACGUCUCGGGUUUGGGACUCAGGCCCCUCAGUUCUUCAGCACCCUCUGCCUUUUAUAAGUGGGGAAACUGAGCUUUGAAACUCAGCAAAGAAGGGAAAUCCAUCCAGAACGGUCUGUAAAGAUUAAUGGAUGAAAACAGAUUCAGGAUAAUUGAUAUCCAUUCAGAUUUCCCUAC